CGGGGAAUUUUGGACAAUGGGCGAAAGCCUGAUCCAGCAAUGCCGCGUGUGUGAAGAAGGCCUUCGGGUUGUAAAGCACUUUUGUCCGGAAAGAAAUCCUUGGCUCUAAUACAGUCGGGGGAUGACGGUACCGGAAGAAUAAGCACCGGCUAACUACGUGCCAGCAGCCGCGGUAAUACGUAGGGUGCAAGCGUUAAUCGGAAUUACUGGGCGUAAAGCGUGCGCAGGCGGUUUGCUAAGACCGAUGUGAAAUCCCCGGGCUCAACCUGGGAACUGCAUUGGUGACUGGCAGGCUAGAGUAUGGCAGAGGGGGGUAGAAUUCCACGUGUAGCAGUGAAAUGCGUAGAGAUGUGGAGGAAUACCGAUGGCGAAGGCAGCCCCCUGGGCCAAUACUGACGCUCAUGCACGAAAGCGUGGGGAGCAAACAGGAUUAGAUACCCUGGUAGUCCACGCCCUAAACGAUGUCAACUAGUUGUUGGGAUUCAUUCCUUAGUAACGUAGCUAACGCGUGAAGUUGACCGCCUGGGGAGUACGGUCGCAAGAUUAAAACUUAAAGGAAUUGACGGGGUC
Molecule: ribosomal RNA, 570 nt
Filed under: uncultured bacterium
Lineage: Bacteria
Description: partial 16S ribosomal RNA
Rfam family: Bacterial small subunit ribosomal RNA
Source: RNAcentral